This 422-nucleotide ribosomal RNA is filed under the name uncultured Gammaproteobacteria bacterium. RNAcentral describes it as "bacterial SSU rRNA". It matches the Rfam family "Bacterial small subunit ribosomal RNA", at positions 9 to 429 of the family's 1533-position model. The record is from RNAcentral. Lineage: Bacteria; Pseudomonadati; Pseudomonadota; Gammaproteobacteria.
GAGUUUGAUCGUGGCUCAGAUUGAACGCUGGCGGCAUGCCUAACACAUGCAAGUCGAACGGCAGCACGGCAGUAGCAAUACUGUGGGUGGCGAGUGGCGGACGGGUGAGGAAUACGUCGGAAUCUGCCCAGUCGCGGGGGAUAACUAGCCGAAAGGUUAGCUAAUACCGCAUACGACCGAGAGGUGAAAGCGGGGGACCGCAAGGCCUCGCGCGAUUGGAUGAGCCGACGUCGGAUUAGCUAGUUGGCGGGGUAAAGGCCCACCAAGGCGACGAUCCGUAGCUGGUCUGAGAGGAUGAUCAGCCACACUGGAACUGAGACACGGUCCAGACUCCUACGGGAGGCAGCAGUGGGGAAUAUUGGACAAUGGGCGCAAGCCUGAUCCAGCAAUGCCGCGUGUGUGAAGAAGGCCUCGGUUGUAAG